RNAcentral lists this ribosomal RNA (933 nucleotides) under Staphylococcus aureus. Its description in RNAcentral is "bacterial SSU rRNA". It matches the Rfam family "Bacterial small subunit ribosomal RNA", at positions 64 to 975 of the family's 1533-position model. The record is from RNAcentral. Lineage: Bacteria; Bacillati; Bacillota; Bacilli; Caryophanales; Staphylococcaceae.
GAGCGAACGGACGAGAAGCUUGCUUCUCUGAUGUUAGCGGCGGACGGGUGAGUAACACGUGGAUAACCUACCUAUAAGACUGGGAUAACUUCGGGAAACCGGAGCUAAUACCGGAUAAUAUUUUGAACCGCAUGGUUCAAAAGUGAAAGACGGUCUUGCUGUCACUUAUAGAUGGAUCCGCGCUGCAUUAGCUAGUUGGUAAGGUAACGGCUUACCAAGGCAACGAUGCAUAGCCGACCUGAGAGGGUGAUCGGCCACACUGGAACUGAGACACGGUCCAGACUCCUACGGGAGGCAGCAGUAGGGAAUCUUCCGCAAUGGGCGAAAGCCUGACGGAGCAACGCCGCGUGAGUGAUGAAGGUCUUCGGAUCGUAAAACUCUGUUAUUAGGGAAGAACAUAUGUGUAAGUAACUGUGCACAUCUUGACGGUACCUAAUCAGAAAGCCACGGCUAACUACGUGCCAGCAGCCGCGGUAAUACGUAGGUGGCAAGCGUUAUCCGGAAUUAUUGGGCGUAAAGCGCGCGUAGGCGGUUUUUUAAGUCUGAUGUGAAAGCCCACGGCUCAACCGUGGAGGGUCAUUGGAAACUGGAAAACUUGAGUGCAGAAGAGGAAAGUGGAAUUCCAUGUGUAGCGGUGAAAUGCGCAGAGAUAUGGAGGAACACCAGUGGCGAAGGCGACUUUCUGGUCUGUAACUGACGCUGAUGUGCGAAAGCGUGGGGAUCAAACAGGAUUAGAUACCCUGGUAGUCCACGCCGUAAACGAUGAGUGCUAAGUGUUAGGGGGUUUCCGCCCCUUAGUGCUGCAGCUAACGCAUUAAGCACUCCGCCUGGGGAGUACGACCGCAAGGUUGAAACUCAAAAGGAAUUGACGGGGGACCCGCACAAGCCGGUGGAGCAUGUGGUUUAAUUCGAAGCAACGCGAAGAACCUUACC